UCACCACCUCUGAUGGGGAGGAGUGGAGACUUCUACAAGCCACACCAGUGCAGCACCAACCUCAGGCCCCAGGGGCUGUGCUGGCCUCCAGGGAAGGGAGAGGGAGCCAGAUUUUGCAAUGAUCCAAAGCAAGUCAGUAUUUGUCUGCAAGGAAAAGAGUGAAGAGAGAGGCUCCCCAGUUUUUUAAACUGUUUUCUUCCCCCACCUUGAAACUGGCAGCAUUUCUGAUAUGAUUGCAGGGGAUUUCCACCAACCAAGUUGAAGAAAAUUCAGUUUUAGCAUUAACUGCAGGGAGAGAGGAGGAGUUUUGCAACCUUUGUCAUUUAUGAAACACCAGCAGUGGCCCCAAAAUGAAGAUGCUUUCCUUUCUCCCAAAUCAAUCAGGCUCCCACCACCCUCCACGGGCUGGCGGCUAAUUACCACACGCGUCUUGACUCUGACCCGGGGGCAGCGGGGCACUGACCUUCCUUGACCCUCCUGGGAGCCUUGCCCUCCAGUCCUGCCCUUCCAACCGCUCGGCUGGGAAAACUGUUUGUCCUCUGGAGAGUGGCGGAAAGAGCUCCUCUGAGGUCCCACGGAAAAACAGCAGGUCCUCCUGCCGCUUCUUCUAACCCUCCGCCUGCCUCGCCUGCCCCCCCUCCGUCUCGGGCUGGAGGGGCGUCAGCCCAGGUGCCUCUGGAAGCUACACCUUGCCCUUCUUCAAAACAAGUUUAUAUCUGUAUCCAGAAGUGGAGUGUUUCCUGCCGUGUCAGCACACAAAGAUGUCACAGCCAUCGGCGAUUCCGGCCCUCCAAAUGUGAAUAUCUGAGCCCCGAGGGCGCCCAGGAAGAAGGAUGAAGCUCUCAAAGACCAGCUCUAAGGAGCUGGGGGUAUUGGUGGCGGGGCGCGGGCAUGUGAAAAAACGCAGGAUUCUGGCUCCGCUAGCUGAGAUGCAUAUGAAAGGAAUGAUUUCUGCAAGCCCAGGCUCUUGCAUCUUUUCGUACACAGAAAAGUGCUAAAUUCCUUAACUUGAGAUAUCUGUUUUUUCAUAAUUAAUAAUAAUCUUUUGAUGUUCAGACUACUUGCCCCUUGUUGCAAACUUCUAUAUAAUUUCACUCCUCCGCACCACCCCCCCACCACCACUUUAUCAGUAGCAGUUCUCUCAGGGUUACUUGGGAUGCUGUCUCCCAGGCUUGCCGUCUUAAAAUUCCCACCAAAUAAAACAUAACUCUUGACUUUUAUGUUG
This 1225-nucleotide long non-coding RNA is filed under the name Bos indicus x Bos taurus (hybrid cattle). RNAcentral's name for it is "lncRNA (ENSBIXG00005018905.1)". Lineage: Eukaryota; Metazoa; Chordata; Mammalia; Artiodactyla; Bovidae. The record is from RNAcentral.